UCCAGUGCUGCUGCCCGCGUGGCGCGCCAGCCUGCCAAACACGUAGAGGGGCAAGGGCGGUACAGCCGUACAGGGUCCGACCCUGCUGCUCGCCGCUAGGUUUUUGGGCGGCGGAGGAUAUCCGGGGAGGAGGGGUUCGGAGAAAAGGCGUGGCUGGUUGCCGCUCGGUGUAGGGGGGUGAGAGCAUGUCUCCAGCAGAUACGGAAAGGGGAAAUUUGGACACCCGUUAUUUGUUGGCCUUUGCUCAAACACACUUUUCAAUCGUGUCUUUACUGAGUAUCAUUAUGAUUUUGUGUUCAUUUGUUACAACACAUUUUGACGUGUGGAACUCUAUUGUCAGUCACUCAAUGGCCCUCUUCCCUCUUUGGUUACCAGCCGAGUAACGGCGCCGGACCCGUCCGUACAGAACUGCAGAUGGCCGGCGCAGCAGAACCACAACGAUCCGCCCGAAUCGAUGGGUAGGAAGCCACAAGGAGAAAGAAGCUGCAGAGGAAGAGAGAUCUCGUCUUCCUCGUAGAGCCCACUCCAGUCAUUGUGUCGCCGCCCACACAAGCGCUUGCCGCUGCGACAGUCGAGCCCCGCCGAGCUCCCCUCCGCUGCAGAUGGCCGCGCCGCGCCGACACCACCGCCCGACGCGCACCCCGCCGGCCGCCGUGCCUCGUGCUGCUGCUUUCUUCGCGCCCGACGAGCCCACGAGCUUGCCCGCCUCCACCGCCCGCGAGCCGUCCCUAGCGCCUGCCGCACGCUCACACACCGUAGUGGAGGCAGCCGCACGGGGCUGUGUCGGGAUAGAAAGCCGCGGAGUCGACGUGGGGACGCUGUUGGUGGUCAUCGAAUCGAUUCUCUCCUACGUCUGUGUCGCUUACGUGAAUUCUACACAAGCUAGCUACUGAUCGUUUUUUGAUAGGCUACUUGUAUGCACGCAUCUCGCCGGAGUUCAUCGCCGCGUCGGAAGUAAUUGGCGUGCUGCACGUGUGUUACAAUCUUGUGGUCUGAAACCAACAGGCGCAGGCCGCAGGUCAUGCCAGAGGAGGAAGAAGGUCAUUGAGUGGCUGACAAUGGAGCUCCACAUGUCAGAGUGUGUUGUAACAAAUGGACACAAAAUCAUAAUGGUACUCAGCAAAGACACGAUUGAAGGAUGUGUUUGAGCAAAAGACACGAAAUAACGGUGUUCAAGAGCAAAUUUCCCCAUACGGAAAAGAUGCUCGAUCCGAAAAAUAACCGUUACUUCAAUGGGUUAGGAAAAAAAAACUGUCCGGAAACAAGGUCCGAUCUGAAUUUUUUUCGGGGAUCCGAAUCCGCGGAGGAGAAACCCAAUAUCUUCGGUGUCCAAUCUUGUCGAAACAGGUGACCCGAUCUCUUGAAAACGGUUGGUUUCACCCGUGCUUGUCCAGAAGAGCCUUCUUCCUCCUGAAGCCGCCGCUGAUCCAGCCUCCUCAGGAUGCCGCCGCCGGCCCGCUGCUAGCUCGCGCGCCCCGCCCCUGCUGACUGCACCUCGCUGACUGCAACCAACUUAGUACUCAAACAUUUAAUUUGAUUAUUUCUCAGUUGGCGAGGUAGCAAAGAAGAUCUAGAGGUAAAUCAUCAAUCAUGGAUAAGAAAAAGAAAAUAGACAAAAAUGAAAAAAUUCCGCGACUGGAUUGAGAAGUGAGAGAGAAGGUUGAGAUAUCGAUGCUCUGCUUCGGUGCAUAGCCGGAAAGAAAAUGGAGAAAGAAAAGAAUAAAAAAUGAAUGGGGCCCACUAAAGAUUAGAGGCUAAGCACUAAGCUGCGUUACCAAUUCUUUGGGUAACGUUUUCGCCGUAGCUGGCGAAGUGAGGACGGGCUGGGCGAGCCAAAUUUUUUUAAUUUUUUUUGAGAGGUGGUGAGCCAAUUUUUCGGUAUGGCUCAUUUUGGUUGUAAAACAAACGGGUCCUUUCUGUUUGGCUCGGUCCGUUGGUGAGAUAUAAGUUAACUCUCUCUACCCAGUCUAAUAAUAGCUCAGCCCGUAAAAGAGAAAAGCAUUUCAACACCAUUCGCCCCCCUAUAGUCCCUCCCUACCUCCUCUUUUCUCCAGUCUCCUGAAUCCUGAUCCCCCCAGUCUUCCGAUUCCCCACUGCUAACCCUAGCCGCCAGGCAUUACCGGACAGCCAGGUCGGCGCCACCAUGCCCCCCACGCCGCCUCUAGUCCUAACUCGGCAACUCCUGACCGCCUGCUCGCCAUCGUGCGGCAGAGCCGCUUACAGGAACCGCUGGCGAGAAGACCCCUCAUCGGCUCCUCUCUGGAUACAUCGGCUCCUCUCUGGAUCUCGUUCAUCUACUGAGUCCGGCGCAAUGGUGUUCCGCCGUGUCACUGGGCGACCCUAGGCCUCGGCGGCGGCAACCGAGCCGUGCCGGCAUCCAGAUCCGGUCUUUCCCCGUUACCAGUGACAUAAAGCUUCCGCCUUUCCGAUCUUGGGCCUCGCCGGCGGCAACCGUGAAGGAGCUUCGACGGCGCUGUUGCAUGCGUUGGUGCAUCGCAACGGUGCUACUGCGCCUGUAGAUGAUGAAGAGGGAGAGGGCGCCUUCGGCAACCGUCGCAGGUCACCAUGCUUCUUCUCUAUACUCUUUUUAUGAAUUGUUUUUGGAUUUUUUUUCAAAUUAAACAUUUCACAUCUCCUUUUCGCCACAUUGUUUUAGGUUUUUUUUGGAGCGAGUGAGAUUUUAUUUACUAACUCUGUUCUUUUUUCCAAAAAACUUUGAACGAUAGAUCAGACUCUGCUUAUCUUUUCUAUGUCAAUACAAUCGUGCUAUGUUAUUUAUUUUUGCCUAAACCUAAUUUUUUAGGUCGAAUAUUGGGUUCUCUUUUGAGAAUCCAAACUGGCAAGUCCAGACAUUCUUGGCCCGUUCACCGCCGAGUUACACAAGUGUUUUCAUUGUGGGCCGACUAAUGUGUACGGGCUUUCGUGGGCUGACUCGAGAAUACUAGCAAGCACAUUUAGAUUCCUCUGUAAACACCAGUAUCCCAUCCCUAAAAGAAAAGGAACACAUACAACAGUCAGCCGUGUGCCCGUGUCACACUAAUCUACCCUCUAUAAAAACCGGCGACUCCAUCUCUUUUUUCCUUAUUUCUCUGGAAUUUCAUUGCCAUCCCCCUCCUCCCCAUCAGCUCUCUCCGCUUCUCCAUGCUUGGCGUUCCUCCCUAUAGCCCAUCUCGCCCAAUCCCCAUCGCUCCCAUCCCAUCCCCAUACCGGUCUCUUCUCUCGUGUUCAUCCCAACCAGGGGGGUGUCUCAAGCUGGCGAAAUGCCUUCCUUUGCCUCUUCCCGGGUACUGUUUCUUCUGUUCUAAGUCUAUGCGCGUCUUUGUUUGAUCUGGUUAGGGUUUGGUAGUUAGGCUUGUGAUUUGAUACCUGUUUGAUUCUGUUAAGUACUGUUGGGAGCUGUUCAUUUCGGGGUUUCGUAGUUAAUAACUGUUUGAUCAUGUUGCUGUGAAUUGCGUAUAUUGAACUGAUUUGGUCUAGGAUUUUAUUUGGGGUUUAUUGACUCUAGACAUGGUUCUAAUCAGGUGACUUAUCUUGUGUUCUUGUCUUAGUACCCUAGUUUAUUUGGGGGUUUGGCCGUUCACAAUCUGUUUGAUUCCCUGUUGAUUGCUUUUUUUUUUUGAAGUGGAUUCCCUGUUAAUUGCUAUGAUUGGCAAAAUAUUUGUCUCCAUUGAGAGUUACUGAUUUGAGUAAUCUUACGUUCUCUAUUCCUGUCAUGCCAUUUGUUACGUUUAGCUGGAAUUCCAGAUAAAUGUUAAGAAGUUUGACUUACGACAAAGCUAGGGCAUCUUAUAUUUAGGAACGGACGUAGUACCUUUUUUGUGUGCAGUACUGUGUCCUUCUGGUCUAAUGAGUUAGUGUUUUGAGUAUUGUCUGGUUCCUUCGGUCCUUCCUAAUGUUUAUAUUGAUUUUUUGGACGGUACUCUAUAUCGUCUUGGUUCUAAUGUUAUAACCCUCCUGUCUUUGUUUAGUUCAUUUAGAAAUGCCUCAUUUUGUGUUAAUGGUGCUAUUAAUGGGCUGUGCAAGUGUACAUUACUGUGUAUUCUCAUGAUGCUACUGCUGCUGUAAUUGUUUGUAUACCGCCCUUCUUGAUUCUAAUGUUGCAUCUAAUUGUUAUGCAUAUUCAUAGCGCAAGGGUUCAUUUCAGUAGGGAGUAUAUUCGCUGACACCACUCCUUUUAAUAACUGUUUGAUCAUGUUGCUGCGAAUUGCGUAUAUUGUACUGAUUUGGUCUAGGCGUUUAUUGAUUCUAGACAUGGUUCUAGUUUCGUUACGUAUCAUUAUGGUCUUGUCUCCGUUUAUCUGGGGAUUUGGCAGUUCAUGAUCUAUUUGAUUCCAUGUUAAUUGUGAUGAGUGGCAAAUUGUUUGCCUCCAUUGGGAUUUAGUGAUGAGACUGGUUUUUCUAUUCUCGAGUGUGUUGCUCCACUAAUCUGGAUCGUCUGACUGAAUGGAAACGGAGGGCAGAUAGGUAUGGGUGACGACAUAUGCAGUGGCUCAGCAGACGGCGUCUGACGGCAUGGACGUUGUUCACGUUUGUCCGAUUGAUGUAGUACGACCUACAAACAAUAGUGAUGUCCAAAAAAAAAAUCCCUGUUUCGUGCACUACACAGCUACGGAUCUGGAUCUCUCUAUACGUUGCACUAAUAUAAUUUUUCCUCCCCCAAACAAUAGUGAUGUCGUACCUACAUGUCAUGUCUGAUUUACUUUGAAUAGUACAAGUAUUUUCCAGAUGCGAUUGAAAGCCAUGACGCACGUGUCCAAAAAGGACGUGAUAUUCGACACCAUGACUGUUGUGUAAUACUCGCUCUGAUCAUAAAUUCUUGACUUAAAUUUGCUCAAAUAUGAAUAUAUAUCUAUUUUUAAAAAACGUCUAGAUACAUGUAAUAUUUCGACAACAAUUUAGGAUCGGAGGGAGUAGUAGAUUUCGAUUGCACCCAAAGGGUAUGGGUUGCAGAUCAGAGAAGUGGUGUGAACUGUUGAUUUUUUUACCAGAGAUUUCAUUUCAUGUGUGUCUAUACAUACAUACAUACAUACAUACAUAUACAUACAUACAUACAUAUAUAUAUACAUAUAUAUAUAUAUAUAUACACACAUUAUAUAUAUAUAUACAAACAUAUAUCGUAGAUCAGAAAAGUGGUGUGAACUGUUGAUUUUUUUACCAGAGAUUUCAUUUCUGUGUGUGUCUAUACAUAUACAUAUACAUCAAUUCUCUCACUCAAAAACAUGUGUUUUCUCUCUCUCUGCACAUAUAUCCAUUCUCUCUUAAGAAUAUGUAUUUUUUCUAUCUAUUCGAUUUCGCCUCUCUCUCCAUACACACACUUUCUCUCUCUCUCUCAAGAAUGUAUGUUUUCUCUCUCUAUAUAUACAUAUCCAUUCUCUCUCAAGUAUAUGUGUUUUGUUUGUCUAUUAGAUUCAUUCUCUCUCAAGCAUAUGUGUUUUCGUGUACUUCGAUUUAGUCUCUCUCUCUCAAUAUAUGUACACACACAUUCUCUCAAGAAUAUUUGUUUUCUCUCUAUAUAUACAUAUCCAUUUUCUCUCAAAAAUAUGUGUUUCAUCUGUUUAUUUGAUCCACGACUACAGUUUCUCUCUUGUACCCAACAUGGAAGGCAAAUUCUCCCGUACCCAAUACUCCAUCCACCUCCAACGGAGCAUUGGGGAAGGGCAUAUCAGUCAUUUCACAUUUAUGCAUUACUAGUAAAAAAAAAAGAAAAACCCCUCACCAGUCACCCCCGAGCCCGAGCCCUGUCAUCCCUGGAUUCUGUCUCCGCCGCCGCCCUCGGCCAGGUUUUUGGGCGGCGGAGGAUAUCCGGGGAGGAGGGGUUCGGAGAAAAGGCGUGGCUGGUUGCCGCUCGGUGUAGGGGGGUGAGAGCAUAUCUCCAGCAGAUACGGAAAGGGGAAAUUUGGACACCCGUUAUUUGUUGGCCUUUGCUCAAACACACUUUUCAAUCGUGUCUUUACUGAGUAUCAUU
RNAcentral lists this long non-coding RNA (5965 nucleotides) under Brachypodium distachyon (stiff brome). Its description in RNAcentral is "long non-coding RNA (BDIS_LNC005884)". Lineage: Eukaryota; Viridiplantae; Streptophyta; Magnoliopsida; Poales; Poaceae. The record is from RNAcentral.